GAGUUUGAUCCUGGCUCAGAUUGAACGCUGGCGGCAUGCCUUACACAUGCAAGUCGAACGGCAGCAUGAUCUAGCUUGCUAGAUUGAUGGCAAGUGGCGAACGGGUGAGUAAUACAUCGGAACGUGCCCUGUAGUGGGGGAUAACUAGUCGAAAGAUUAGCUAAUACCGCAUACGACCUGAGGGUGAAAGUGGGGGACCGCAAGGCCUCAUGCUAUAGGAGCGGCCGAUGUCUGAUUAGCUAGUUGGUGGGGUAAAGGCCCACCAAGGCGACGAUCAGUAGCUGGUCUGAGAGGACGAUCAGCCACACUGGGACUGAGACACGGCCCAGACUCCUACGGGAGGCAGCAGUGGGGAAUUUUGGACAAUGGGCGAAAGCCUGAUCCAGCAAUGCCGCGUGUGUGAAGAAGGCC
RNAcentral lists this ribosomal RNA (411 nucleotides) under uncultured microorganism. Its description in RNAcentral is "bacterial SSU rRNA". It matches the Rfam family "Bacterial small subunit ribosomal RNA", at positions 9 to 416 of the family's 1533-position model. The record is from RNAcentral.